Molecule: long non-coding RNA, 1323 nt
Filed under: Daucus carota (carrot)
Lineage: Eukaryota; Viridiplantae; Streptophyta; Magnoliopsida; Apiales; Apiaceae
Description: long non-coding RNA (DCAR_LNC000334)
Source: RNAcentral
GCUCAUAUGAAAUCGAAUUGUACAUUUUAUUAUCUAUGGAGGGGGAUGCAAGGCUUAGCCUAGCGGAUAUUCCUCUCCUUAGAACCCUGGUGGGGGCAUGGUGCAUGUAUUCAUAAUAUCUGUAAAUGACCUACCAGGAAAAAAAGAGUAUGCUUUCUGCAAGUGUGCUGCAGAAUUCUGAAUAUAUAUAUUAUAAAAGAGAAAAUAAACAAUAUCUAUGGUAAGUCAAUAAAACAAACUUGUUCGGUGGUGUCUAUUAGUUGAUGGCUUCACCUAGCAUCUUUUUUUAUUUAUAGUUUAGUAAAAAACUACAGUAUUUCCUUAUACUAUAGAAGAUUGGCACUGGUUUAAAAGCUAGAGGCGUCAAUCAAUUGUAACUUAGUUCUCUCUCAUUUUUUUGUUUAGGCAGAACAUCUUAGAUACUUUGAUUGGAUUUGUUAUUACCAUCAGGGACCUAGUAUAUUAGAAUUGAAGUAGACUAUUGCAUAUCCAUAUUAGAUUCAUUAUUAUGUAAAAGUGUAUUGGGUCUCACACUUCAUAAACAUGUCAUACUACUACAAACUCUAUAAUAAUGCAAGAUUUAUUAUGGAAUUACUAUUUAAAUGUAAUUAUAUAAUGUAUAACUACGACAGCCAGACUCUUGGACACUGGGAGUCUGGGACAUGGGUGUGGAAACGCAAACACUUGCUCAAGGGAAAUAACAUGCACAAUACAUUACUGAGUUAAACUAUUGCACAUGUAUCCAUGUUAAACUCGUUUACAUAAUCAGAUUAAUUAAAAAUACCAAGUACAAUUCACCAGUCUUGUAGUUUGUAAUACAAAAUUUUAAGCUAAAUUAGUUUGUAUUUUGACCUAUGUUACCCGGACUCGGCUGAAAGUGUCCAGACCGGAUUCGUGUCCGAGUGUUGGACUCGGCAAUAUUUUGAAAAAUUUACAUGUUUUUGGCCUAAAAUAAGUGUCGGAGUGUCCAUACCCAUGUCCGAGUGUCAAGUGUCCGACACGGGUACUCGAGGCAAAAUGAAGAGUCCGGGUAACGUAGAUUUUGACACAUGCAUAUGUAACUUUUCUUUAUUUGACCCUUCUUCCAGGAAAAUUUUUACAUGUUAGUUUAUAAGCCACUUCUUAUUAGUAACGGCUUUCUUGUAGGACUGCAGUCUUCCAUAUUCAGUUUUGUAUUUAGACAUGUUUAUAAUAGUGUUGUUCAAAGGAAGUCUCUCUUCACUGUGUCUGUUUGUUAUAUUGCUCCUCUUCAAGUGCGUUUGUUUGUUAUUUGGCUUAACUAGAUUUUGGUAAUUGGGAAAUAAUAAAACAUAUAAUUUUCUU